RNAcentral lists this ribosomal RNA (510 nucleotides) under uncultured bacterium. RNAcentral describes it as "partial 16S ribosomal RNA". It matches the Rfam family "Bacterial small subunit ribosomal RNA", at positions 28 to 507 of the family's 1533-position model. The record is from RNAcentral.
GACGAACGCUGGCGGCGUGCUUAACACAUGCAAGUCGAACGAAGAGCGAUGGAAGCUUGCUUCUAUCAAUCUUAGUGGCGAACGGGUGAGUAACGCGUAAUCAACCUGCCCUUCAGAGGGGGACAACAGUUGGAAACGACUGCUAAUACCGCAUACGAUCUAACCUCGGCAUCGAGGAUGGAUGAAAGGUGGCCUCUAUUUAUAAGCUAUCACUGAAGGAGGGGAUUGCGUCUGAUUAGCUAGUUGGAGGGGUAACGGCCCACCAAGGCGAUGAUCAGUAGCCGGUCUGAGAGGAUGAACGGCCACAUUGGGACUGAGACACGGCCCAGACUCCUACGGGAGGCAGCAGUGGGGAAUCUUCCGCAAUAGACGAAAGUCUGACGGAGCAACGCCGCGUGAGUGAUGACGGCCUUCGGGUUGUAAAGCUCUGUUAAUCGGGACGAAAGGCCUUCUUGCGAAUAGUUAGAAGGAUUGACGGUACCGGAAUAGAAAGCCACGGCUAACUACGUG